Molecule: long non-coding RNA, 1162 nt
Organism: Symphalangus syndactylus (siamang)
Lineage: Eukaryota; Metazoa; Chordata; Mammalia; Primates; Hylobatidae
Source: RefSeq, a predicted model, not a curated record
GUGAUCACAUGAUGAUGUGGGAUGCCUCCAGAACAUUCAAAUGGAAAGUGUGAGACACUCAUAGGUCUGGAGGUUAGAUAAGAGGACAUCAGAGAUUCCUUACAGUACUAACAUUCUAGAAUGCCAUGACUUCAGCAUACUGGCUUUUAAAGUACAAAUCAUCUUCAGAAGAAAAUCCCUUUGUCUUUGGGUUGAGCAAGUAAAAGACCCAGGGAGAGCAACCUUGGAAGAUGUUAUAAAGAUACCAUAUUGCAGAUAAUGAAACUGAGGUUCAGAGAGGCCCAAUAGUCGACACAAAACCAAGGUGGGAAUGUGAAUCUGUUUUUCAUUCUGUGACCCUGUGGUGCCCUUCUCUACAGCUGUUCAUCCACAGACCUUCAAAGGAUGUGCCACCAGGCUCAGCUAUGCAGUAAACAGUCCCGGCAAAGGAUCUUUGUGCAGAUUUGUGAUUAAAGGCAAACAAGAUAAUCAGUCCCAGGACCAGGGGAGAGCCGUCCUCACUCUCAUGCAUUCCUCCAUUCACACGGCCCUGGAAACCUUUCGGUGUGGCAGUGGCUGUGGCAAUCACUCUGCCGACUGCAGAAUAAAGGGUCCUGUCUGGAAAUGCAAUUAUUUCCACAUAAAAGGUUUUUAAAAGACACAUACGCACGCGCGUGCAUGCGCACACACACACACGAUAGCAUUUUUGGUUUUCAGAAACUGAUAUUCCCAAUAAGGACAAAAAUUAACUUUGUAAAAAAUGAAGAUGAUGAAGACAAUGAAGAGAUGGUGAUGAUGAUGAUGGAUGAAGAUUGUGGUGACAAGCAUGAUGAAUAUAUUGAGAAGGUGAAGAUGAUGAAGAUGAAGAUGGUGAUGAUGAUGGUAGCAGCAACCACCAUUUUCUGAGCCCAUAAAUGUGCCACUCACUAUGUUGGCUACUUUAUAGACAUUACCUCUAAUUAUUACAAUAACCCUGUAAGAUAAAGUUUAGCACCUCCAUUUAACACAUGAGAAACUGAAGCUCAUAGAAGUGAAGUAAGCUGCCUGAGGUCACAACCUUAGGCAUGAAAAAGGAUUGACAGAGAUUACUGCUUGAAUUAUUACUCCAAAUCCUGUGCCUAUAACCACUAACAUAACCACUUCAUUUGUUUACUCCUUCAUUUAUUUAAAAAAUUUAUUCAUC